ACGGGAGGCAGCAGUGGGGGAUAUUGCACAAUGGGCGCAAGCCUGAUGCAGCGACGCCGCGUGAGUGAAGAAGUAUUUCGGUAUGUAAAGCUCUAUCAGCAGGGAAGAAAAUGACGGUACCUGACUAAGAAGCCCCGGCUAACUACGUGCCAGCAGCCGCGGUAAUACGUAGGGGGCAAGCGUUAUCCGGAUUUACUGGGUGUAAAGGGAGCGUAGACGGCAUGGCAAGUCUGAUGUGAAAACCCGGGGCUCAACCCCGGGACUGCAUUGGAAACUGUCAAGCUAGAGUGCAGGAGAGGUAAGUGGAAUUCCUAGUGUAGCGGUGAAAUGCGUAGAUAUUAGGAGGAACACCAGUGGCGAAGGCGGCUUACUGGACUGUAACUGACGUUGAGGCUCGAAAGCGUGGGGAGCAAACAGGAUUAGAUACCCUGGUA
Molecule: ribosomal RNA, 434 nt
Filed under: uncultured Lachnospiraceae bacterium
Lineage: Bacteria; Bacillati; Bacillota; Clostridia; Lachnospirales; Lachnospiraceae
Description: bacterial SSU rRNA
Rfam family: Bacterial small subunit ribosomal RNA
Source: RNAcentral